UACAGAGGUGCCAAGCGUUGUUCGGAUUUACUGGGCGUAAAGGGUGCGUAGGUGGCCUAGCAAGUCGGAUGUGAAAUCCCGGAGCCUAACUCCGGAAUGGCAUCCGAAACUGCUGGGCUCGAGGUCUGGAGAGGUGACUGGAAUGCUCGGUGUAGCAGUGAAAUGCGUAGAUAUCGAGUAGAACACCAGAGGCGAAAGCGGGUCACUGGACAGAUUCUGACACUGAGGCACGAAAGCCAGGGGAG
This 245-nucleotide ribosomal RNA is filed under the name uncultured bacterium. RNAcentral describes it as "partial 16S ribosomal RNA". It matches the Rfam family "Bacterial small subunit ribosomal RNA", at positions 524 to 768 of the family's 1533-position model. The record is from RNAcentral.